RNAcentral lists this transfer RNA (73 nucleotides) under Bos taurus (domestic cattle). It matches the Rfam family "tRNA". From Rfam's summary of the family: Transfer RNA (tRNA) molecules are approximately 80 nucleotides in length. Their secondary structure includes four short double-helical elements and three loops (D, anti-codon, and T loops). Further hydrogen bonds mediate the characteristic L-shaped molecular structure. tRNAs have two regions of fundamental functional importance: the anti-codon, which is responsible for specific mRNA codon recognition, and the 3' end, to which the tRNAs corresponding amino acid is attached (by aminoacyl-tRNA synthetases). tRNAs cope with the degeneracy of the genetic code in two manners: having more than one tRNA (with a specific anti-codon) for a particular amino acid; and 'wobble' base-pairing, i.e. permitting non-standard base-pairing at the 3rd anti-codon position. RNAcentral also lists the same sequence under 2 other names. Lineage: Eukaryota; Metazoa; Chordata; Mammalia; Artiodactyla; Bovidae. The record is from Rfam by way of RNAcentral.
UCCCUCGUGGUCCAGUGGUUAAGACUCUGAGCUUCCACCACAGUGGGUGUGGGUUCAAUCCCUAGUCAGGGAA